UACGUAGGGGGCUAGCGUUGUCCGGAAUCAUUGGGCGUAAAGAGCACGUAGGCGGCCAGAUAAGUCCGGUGUGAAAGUCACAGGCUCAACCUGUGAAUGCCGCUGGAAACUGUCUGGCUAGAGUCCGGAAGGGGCGAGUGGAAUUCCUGGUGUAGCGGUGAAAUGCGCAGAUAUCAGGAGGAACACCAAUGGCGAAGGCAGCUCGCUGGAACGGUACUGACGCUGUGGCGCGAAAGCGUGGGGAGCAAACAGG
Molecule: ribosomal RNA, 253 nt
Filed under: uncultured bacterium
Lineage: Bacteria
Description: partial 16S ribosomal RNA
Rfam family: Bacterial small subunit ribosomal RNA
Source: RNAcentral